RNAcentral lists this ribosomal RNA (253 nucleotides) under uncultured bacterium. RNAcentral describes it as "partial 16S ribosomal RNA". It matches the Rfam family "Bacterial small subunit ribosomal RNA", at positions 524 to 776 of the family's 1533-position model. The record is from RNAcentral.
UACGUAGGGUGCAAGCGUUGUCCGGAAUUAUUGGGCGUAAAGAGCUCGUAGGCGGUCUGUUGCGUCGGCUGUGAAAACCCGAGGCUCAACCUCGGGCCUGCAGCCGAUACGGGCAGACUAGAGUUCGGCAGGGGAGACUGGAAUUCCAGGUGUAGCGGUGAAAUGCGUAGAUAUCUGGAGGAACACCGGUGGCGAAGGCGGCAUCCUGGACCAACACUGACACUGAGGAGCGAAAGCCAGGGGAGCAAACGGG